Meriones unguiculatus (Mongolian gerbil) is the source of this 649-nucleotide long non-coding RNA. RefSeq lists it as uncharacterized. The record is from RefSeq and is a predicted model, not a curated record. The transcript has 3 exons. Lineage: Eukaryota; Metazoa; Chordata; Mammalia; Rodentia; Muridae.
AUUAGGAACUUCCGGUUUGCUUUAGGCUUGACCGGAAACCAGACCUUUGACCCGUCGACCUCUUUAUGCUCUCGGGCCGCGUAACGCGUUCAGAAGUUUUGGUCAUCUCUGUCACCUUGACGCCCGCCCUCAGUAUGGCACUUUCGUUCGAAUUCCUACGUUGCAAAGGCUCACUGCAAAACUCUGACCUGUGCACUGAGCCCAGUUCAGUUAAAUAUGAUUUUCUGCUCUCUGUUUGAGCAGGAGAAUAAAAGCAUCCAACUAAGGAAUCCGGAGACCACUGGGCAAAUGAAACGUUUGAAGAAAAAGGACAGAUUAUCAAGAGAAAAUGUCCCAAGAAGAGAGUAAGUUGUCCAAGCGUUAUUACCCACCUCCGGUUGACCAGUCUGAAGUCUUGGUUUGGAGCCCCGGACCAUGGGAGCCCUGGCACCCAUGCUGCCAUCUCACCCAAGUGGCCACGCCUUCCUGCUGUGGGUCUGGGGCCUAACAGCCCCUGGGGGUGCUUCCUUUCUUCCUGCCUGGCUGCUAGGCCUUACAUGGAAAUUCCCAAAUGCUCGUCUCUGCUGCCCUCUACAGACAUAGUGACAAAUGAUCCUUAUGUGUUUCCUAUUCAAUUAACAAUUAAAGCUGGCUUUGGGGUUGGUGCAUA